This 301-nucleotide ribosomal RNA is filed under the name uncultured bacterium. RNAcentral describes it as "partial 16S ribosomal RNA". It matches the Rfam family "Bacterial small subunit ribosomal RNA", at positions 509 to 807 of the family's 1533-position model. The record is from RNAcentral.
CAGUAGCCGCGGGAAUACGGAGGGUGCAAGCGUUAAUCGGAAUUACUGGGCGUAAAGCGCACGCAGGCGGUCUGACAAGUCAGAUGUGAAAUCCCCGGGCUUAACCUGGGAACUGCAUUUGAAACUGUCAGGCUGGAGUCUUGUAGAGGGGGGUAGAAUUCCAGGUGUAGCGGUGAAAUGCGUAGAGAUCUGGAGGAAUACCGGUGGCGAAGGCGGCCCCCUGGACAAAGACUGACGCUCAGGUGCGAAAGCGUGGGGAGCAAACAGGAUUAGAGACCCCAGUAGUCCCUGUCUCUUAUAC